GAUGAAGAACGUAGCGAAAUGCGAUAAGUAAUGUGAAUUGCAGAAUUCAGCGAAUCAUCGAAUCUUUGAACGCACAUUGCGCCCGCCAGUAUUCUGGCGGGCAUGCCUGUCCGAGCGUCAUUUCAACCCUCGAACCCCUCCGGGGGGUCGGCGUUGGGGAUCGGCCCUUUCACCGGGUGCCGUCCCCCAAAUACAGUGGCGGUCUCGCCGCAGCCUCUCAUGCGCAGUAGUUUGCACACUCGCACCGGGAGCGCGGCGCGUCCACGUCCGUAAAACACCCCAAACUUCUGAAAUGUUGACCUCGGAUCAGGUAGGAAUACCCGCUGAACUUAAGCAUAUCAAUAAGCGGAGGA
This 353-nucleotide unclassified non-coding RNA is filed under the name soil metagenome. RNAcentral's name for it is "partial contains 5.8S ribosomal RNA, internal transcribed spacer 2, and large subunit ribosomal RNA". The stretch from base 1 to 120 matches the Rfam family "5.8S ribosomal RNA", at positions 35 to 154 of the family's 154-position model. The record is from RNAcentral.